AGCUCCAAUAGCGUAUAUUAAAGUUGUUGUGGUUAAAAAGCUCGUAGUUGGAUCUCAACAGACCUGGAUCGGUUUACUUUGUGUAAUACUGAUCCAGAGCUGUGCUUUUGCCGGAGGUUUAGGGGUGCUCUUAACCGAGUGUCUCUGAGUGCCGGCAGGUUUACUUUGAAAAAAUUAGAGUGUUUAAAGCAGGCUGUUAUGCCUGAAUAUUUGUGCAUGGAAUAAUAGAAUAGGAUGUUGAUCUUAUUUUGUUGGUUUUCGAGACUUGACAUAAUGAUUAAUAGGGACAGUCGGGGGCAUUUGUAUUCAAACGACAGAGGUGAAAUUCUUGGACCGUUUGAAGACAAACUACUGCGAAAGCAUUUGCCAAGAAUGUGUGCA
This 381-nucleotide ribosomal RNA is filed under the name marine copepod environmental sample. RNAcentral's name for it is "SSU rRNA". It matches the Rfam family "Eukaryotic small subunit ribosomal RNA", at positions 587 to 972 of the family's 1831-position model. Lineage: Eukaryota; Metazoa; Arthropoda; Copepoda. The record is from RNAcentral.